GGACAGGAAAGGUUGCACUUCAGCCCCAGCUGGUCUCAGCCUGGAGCCCUCCUGCUAUCUGGGCAGCUCUUUGGGCACUGGAACAUCGGUAUAACAGGUGUUCUUGUGUUAUGCCCCGUAGAAGUGGGAAGCAAUGGACUUGCUCCUUUUGAGGACUGCAGAGAUAGCAGCAGCCUUGCCUUGAUUGUUGUGCUGGUCACUGAGUUACCAGGUUCAUCUGCUCCUGCUCUCAGACCUACGCUUGUGCAGCCAGAAAGUAUGUGGGAGUCUGCACGGGCAGAAGUUGUGCUGCAGCAGUUUGAGGUCUCCAUUUUUAACCUUUCCAGAAAAUGCUGCUGUUGGCAGCCUUCCACUACUCUGCUUCUCUGGGGGCUCACCUACAGUGAAUCAUGCUCAGGGAAUUGCCCUGUGCUUAGCUGCUGGACACUGCUUUACUGCAAGAAACGAUUUUUACACUGCAAAUAUUUGCAGCUCUCCAAACCUACGAAAACAAUGUUUGUCGAUGCUCUAGAGAUCAAUGUUAAUCCAAGAAGCCUAGUGCAAUCAGAAGGAUGUUUUGAUUUAUUAGUAAUAUAUUUUAAAAGCAAACAAAUUAGUUUAUAG
This 603-nucleotide long non-coding RNA is filed under the name Numida meleagris (helmeted guineafowl). RNAcentral describes it as "lncRNA (ENSNMEG00000016455.1)". Lineage: Eukaryota; Metazoa; Chordata; Aves; Galliformes; Numididae. The record is from RNAcentral.